Molecule: long non-coding RNA, 796 nt
Organism: Heterocephalus glaber (naked mole-rat)
Lineage: Eukaryota; Metazoa; Chordata; Mammalia; Rodentia; Bathyergidae
Source: Ensembl
AAAGGCACAAUGCAUCCCGUUCUCUGAACUGAGCUGCUUCUCUCUUGAAGUCCAACUUAGGAGCCUCAGUUUGCUUGGGUGUAGGAGUUUCAGAAGGUAACUGGACAAUGCCACCAUUUGAUUAGUCAUUCAUUCUGCAUUCUGCAUUCAACGUUUUGCUGAGUAGUACAAGCUAGCUGAUAUACUAGACACAAUCCAGGAGGGAAAACAGAUAAUAGGAGGAACAUAGGCGAUAAGUGGUUAUACUGGAUCUGUGUUGGAGGAGAGUGGAGAGAAAAUUACCAAGAGAGUCACCCUUUCUCCUGGGCCUUGAAGAACAGGUUACACUCUACAACCAAGUGUCAUCUUCCCUCACGGAAAAUAAUGAAGGGAUGUCCACUUUCCCUCAAUAUGAAGAGUGUGCGAAAUGGAUUGAAUCCAGGAAAAAAGAAACAAGUACUGUACUCAGAAAUCGCACAAGGAGCCUGGCACCGGUGGCGGACCGAGUGUGGACUAUGUGCAGUGUAUCCUGCAUUCCUGAGUCCCCUUCCCAAGUGUACUCUAGAAUUGCUCUUCCCCAUCCCUUUUGCAGUUAGGCAGCGCUACAUGACCCGUGUUAGAUGGAGAUAUGCAUGAGAAUGAACUGUAUUAGACACGAGCAGAAGCUGUCCGGCAUGCUUCCUCUCCACAGCUGUGUGGAUCAGGGAAGCAAAUGUCGAGACGGUUUCAUUAACCUGGGUCCCUGAGAGAACACAAUGAUCAGAGUCGUUCUGCUGACUCCAGUUAGACAGGUGCAUUAAAGAGAAAGUAAAGCCCC